RNAcentral lists this ribosomal RNA (468 nucleotides) under uncultured bacterium. RNAcentral's name for it is "partial 16S ribosomal RNA". It matches the Rfam family "Bacterial small subunit ribosomal RNA", at positions 28 to 507 of the family's 1533-position model. The record is from RNAcentral.
GACGAACGCUGGCGGCGUGCUUAACACAUGCAAGUCGAACGGAAAGGCCCUGCUUUUGUGGGGUGCUCGAGUGGCGAACGGGUGAGUAACACGUGAGUAACCUGCCCUUGACUUUGGGAUAACUUCAGGAAACUGGGGCGAAUACAGGAUAGGAGCUCCUGAUGCAUGGUGGGGGUUGGAAAGUUUCGGCGGUUGGGGAUGGAUUCGCGGCUUAUCAGCGUGUUGGUGGGGGAGUGGCUUACCAAGGCUUUGACGGGUAGCCGGCCUGAGAGGGUGACCGGCCACAUUGGGACUGAGAGACGGCCCAGUCUCCUACGGUAGGCAGCAGUCGGGAGUAUUGCACAAUGGGCGGACGCCUGAUGCAGAAACUCCGCGUGCGUGAUGACGUCCUUCGGGUUGUAAACCGCUUUCGCCUGUGACGAAGCGUGAGUGACGGUAAUUGGUAAAGAAGCACCGGCUAACUACGUG